AUUGAAUUCUUUUAUUUUAAAUAUUCACAUUACAGGAAUUCAUUAGGUCAGAAUAGAACAUCAUUAUUUACACAUUCAAGGAAUAACUCCAGUGCUAAAUCAGCGAGGUACUUACACUGAAUUUAGGAAAUAUGACUGAAGAGAGAGUUUCUUCUUACACAUACAGGCUCAAAUCCUUUAUACAUUUAUUUCUGCCUUGGAAUCUUAGUACAUAUUGCUGAAAUCACUAUUAAUUGCUGAAUAAAAUUUCACAAAAUUAUAGCAAUCACACCAUAUAUUUAUAAGCCUAGAAAGACAUCCAUGAGAAGGAAUCCAUGUUGUGACAGCAUGUUUAAGGGAAGAAAAUUUCAAAUGACAUCUCCAGUUUAAUUUGUGGAAAACACGAGUUCUCCAAAUAGCUGAAUAUACAGAUUUUCUCUGGCAUCUUGCCUUUCAUGGCUUAUUAAAAUAUUUGCUUAGCUGCCUUAAAGUGUUAUGUUAUUUACAGUUUCAAUCAAUGAAGGGAACAAUGUGGUAGCAAACUAAGUGCCUAGAUCAAUGUUAGCUGAAUGUCACACACAUACACUAUCUUGGUUGGUAAAGUCGGCGUCUACAGUGCUAGGACUGACUACUCCUCAUUUGAAUUAAUGCUUUGCUCCCAGGAUGCAGCAGGACUCAGCUGCAUGAUUUUCACUUGGAAUAAUAGCUACAGUCAAUUUUUCUUAUCAUUAUACUAACUUCACUGAAGCUGUUAAAUUGAACUGGAAGGAACCAAUCUUCUGUAAAUAAAUAAAUAAAUAAAUGUAUAAAUAGGAUUCCCAUCAUUUUAAUAACAUAGCAAUGAAAUUACCUUCCAACAGUGUAAAUGCUUACUGUCAUGUUUUAAGUCACUAAGAGCUACGUUCCAGCCUUAAUAUAUUACCAUGAAUGAUUAAUUUCAUGGGAGGAGAGAUGAUUGAUCCACACAUAUUACCUGUUUGGGAUUAAGCCCUUUCAAAAGCACAGGUAUGUUUUCUGAAUAAAAGAGAAAAGCUAAACAAAACAAACCCUUCAUUAAAUGGAAUAAUUUUUGUUAUUUUCAAAGACUGCUUCAAAUUAUCUGCAUGUAAAGGCUCCUCUGCAGCCAACAUUCAUAUUUUUAUACAAUUUUUAUUACUUAAGUUAAUAAGUAAAAGGGUAGGCCUACUUUUUCUUCCCCUAGUGAUUACACUGGUUGACUGUCAAGACUGCCUAGAUGUUCUAUGUUAUUGCCCAAUUUAGUGUUGUGCAGACCUGACCUCAGGUGACUGGCAGUAGUACUGAUUUAGGCAGUGUAUAAAAAGAUAUACCAUUCUCAGUUAUAGAAAAAGCUGCCAGAAUAUUAUGUUCAUAGAAUGAAACUGGUUAAGAUGAUAUUUUCACAUCUUCAUGCUUUGUACUAUUAAGUUGUUAUACAGUAAAUUGUAUCACUUGCCAACAAAUAAUUUGUUGUAUUUAUUGCCAACAAUAACUCCAAAAAUAAAGUUUUGGGAGAAAAUUUACCACAAUAUGCUGCAGUUAGAAAAAAGAAACGCAGCAUUGUUUAUUGGCUCAUUAGCACUAUGAAUAACAUUUUCACUUUACCAAAUGUUGAAAAGGGACUUUUGAAAGGACGUGAAUCAUGCAUACGGAUUGAGACAGAGCCUGUGUGUGAGUGGCAGUGUAAAUGUCCCCAAAGCUGCAUGAUUCACCAAUUGCAUGCAAUUUUUCACCUAAUAUAAACACAACCUUAAUAUAGUCAUAUAAUUUCUAACACAUCUUAUUUCAAACAUGCAUUAGCUACUAAAAUAAGAUUUAAAGAAAAGUUGAUGUUUGAUAUAAAAUAAUCAUGUUUUUUUCAAGUGUGGAAAAAUACUCUACAAAAAAAUAAGUAGAAAAAUGAUUUCUGAUCAACAUGUGAUUUUAUCUAUAAAAAUCCAGAUGACUAAUUAGUGUGCUUAAAAUAACCCUAUUGGGUCUGCAUCGCAAUAAUACAUACACAGAAAGUUAAUAGCAAUAAACAACUAUUAGCACAAUGCAAUUAAAUUCUUAUCAGAAAUAACACGAACCUAUAAACUGUACAUUUGGCAUUAUGUUUCAGGGUAUUUUUAAGAGUUUGAUUAAAUAUGACAAUACAAUAGUGCAAAAUUACAUCACAUUAAUAAAACAUACAAUUACCAUCCAAAUAAUUUAUGGAUUACUGACCCUUACAAUUCACAUAAUGGCUAGAAUUGUCACAUUUUGUUUCAGAAUAAUAGUUUUGACCUUCCUUGAAUGUAAGUCAUUUUAUUCAAAGUUAUACUUGAACUACAUAAAAAAGAUAUUGGCAUAUGUGUGUCUAUAUGUGCAUUCUUGAGGGAAUGAGGCAAGAGAAAUCAUGUAAAGUCCUAACUCUUCAUUUUCAGAACUUCAUUGCAGUAUUUUGCUUCAGCAACCUUUUAUUCAGAGCUCCUGAAGCAAUUACACAUUAACUUCUUCCCCACCCCUUGUAGUGACAUGGCCACAUGGAAAUGCGCAGUAAGAAAAGAAGAAAACAUCUGCACGAAUAUAUGGCAGUUUGUGCACUGUGCCAGGCUAAUUAAAUUAGAAUUUCUAACCAAUUCAUCAAGAUUUAUUAAGAGCUUCUCAGGUACUUCUAAUGUACAGUCCAUCACACUCCUUUUACAGAUUAAAAAUCUAUGGCUCAGAAAUGUUAGUGAAUUAUACAGCAGAUUGUGAAAACUGGAACUUGGGCUUUGAUCCUUAGUUUACUACUCCUCUUCUUGUUUCUUGUUGACACUUUUCUCCUUUUUGCCGCUUUGUGAACUUGAAUCUAGGUACAGACUUGUUAGCUCCUUACUUUUUCCAUUUAAAAAUCUCUUCUCUACAUUCGUAUUGUCUUGGAAUCAGAAUAAGACAUAUUAUUAUAAUGAAGAUGUUUAACCUCAACAAUUUCAUUCAAGUAAUUUUGACCAGUUGCAUUUCUGCAAGCACACAUUACUUCCUACCUUCAUCUCAUACAUUAUUUACCUUUUAGGGAUUCUAUAACAAUGCCAUUUUAUAUUGUCACAAUUACUCCCUUAACCCCGAUUAAGCUGAAAGUUCUUUUUUUUCCCUUCUAAGUAAAAUCUUGUUCUCAAAUAUGAUAGUCUUUGUUUUUUGAUUAAUUAUUUUAAAAUCACAUAUGAAAUAUUCAAGAUAGAUUAUCUUUUAUCUAAAAAGUAGACUACUUCCAGGUUUACAUAGACAAUCAGAUAAUCUUCAUUUGCUUAAGGACUCUUGAGGCAGAAAACCAGUAAAUGAAAAGCCUGAUCUCAUUACAGUCCCUGGAGACAUGUAUUCCAUCCUAGAUGAGCUCAUAUCCUCUGGCAAUCUCACCUUGGACAAGGAUGGCAUCUUCAGGAUUAUCUCAUUUAAGGAACUGAAGGUGGCUAAUGAGGCCAAUCUGAGACUGGAGAUGUGAUAUUGUAACUCUGGCCCAUAUUUCUCACAUAAUGAGUGGUAGUCCUGGGUUGUUAAUUUAGCCUUUGGAUACUGCUUCUGCAGAGACUGCCUUUCUAUUUCCUGAACCCUCAUUAAUCAAAAUGGAAUGCAGCCAUGUGUGGAAAGUUAGCAUGUUAGCAUAACUUUCUGUAGAAUUGGCCCUUAAAAUUUUUCAGAUAAAAUCUAUAUUUGUUUUCCACAAUAAAAUUCCAGCAAGCUAUAACUUAACUUACUUUACUUACACAACUAAUUCAAAAUUGUUUGGUUUCCAGAGAACUCAGAAAAAUAAAUCAGUUUUUGAAGUUUUCUAAUGUUACUGACAUAACAGACAUUUCUAAUACUCUUUAAAGGAACACAAUUAGAAACUACUUAAAAAUACUAUUUUGAAUAUCAUUCUCUUUUUCAUAUAGAAAAAUAGAAAUUUUCCUUGAGCCUACUUUUUUAUUCUAACAUAGUACAGCUUUAAAUUUGUACACUUGAACAACUGAGAUUAUUCACGUCAAAGCUAUUUAUUAUGCAAUUAUGGUAGCCUUAAUCACAGGCUGGCUAACAAUUAUUUUAUUUCUGAACCACUAGAUAAAUACUCCUGUUUAUUGAAGUUAUACCCUAACAUAUUAAAAGCAACUUUUAGCUUUUUUUUAAAUUAGUUUAAGAGUAGAUGGAGACUUCCUAACAAAUCAUUAACUAGUCCUGUGUCAAAACUAGUGGACCAGCUGAAGUGAUGGAUUAAGUCAAACUGUUAAAUAUUGCUAGGCCUUUUUCUUUACCAGAAAAUGAUCUCUGAGAAUCUUCUUGCUAUCCUAUUCUGUGACAUGCGCUAUACCAACUGAUAAUAAGUUAAAUUGACUACAAAUUUACUGAUUGCUCAUAACAGGGAGAGAAAAUUAGGACUGCUUGAGUUCCAAUUAUCUUAAGAAAUGGUAUAUAUAUUUAGUAAUGCAAACAAUGCCUAUUCACCACCACUGCCAGCUCCUCACACCCCUUCCGUAACUUAGUAAUUAUGGGAAACAUGAAUAUAUGCUUCCAUGCUGUAUUUAUUUGUUUCCGUUUUGCUGAAUGUUGUUCCUUCGGCUUGUAUAAAAUUUCAAUGAUUCCUACAAACUGCCUGUUUAAUGUCUUCAGAGUUUUAGAAUUAAAAUUGUGAAAAUAGCACUGGAUUCCUCACAAUUAUCUUUUAUAAGAAUAAAAGAUAACACUUGAACACAUAUCUAGUCACCUGAAUAUAAUUUCUCAGAAAUAUGCUACCUCUGCUUUACAGCUGCAAAAUCUGAGGAUAAGAGAAGUUGAGUAACUUGCACAUAGCUAGUGAAUGGCAGACCUUGGAUUCAAUUCUAAAUCUGUAGUUGUCAAAAAUUUGGAUGCUACAAUUCUUUGCCAUAUCUCAAUUGCAAAUUACCUAUCAGACAAGGAGACUUUGGAACCCAAGAAUGUGGUCUCUUAAACACAUACAAUAGAAAAGCAGAUCACAGAAGCAUAUAUCCUAGUAAUUGUCUAGACCAGUCUUUCCUGUUGCAAAAUAUAAACAUGCAGUUAGAACCUAGAAAGCAAAUUAGAGAUUUUUUUCAAGAUAUAUAAUCUUUUAUUUUCCUAAUAGUUCCUCCAAGACGAGAACUGGUGAUUUCCUGAGGUAUGCCUGCAUUAGUAUUACCUGUGGAACAUUUACACCUGUUAGACUUCUGGGCUCUUCCUCAAACUAAAUAGAUCAGCUCUCUGGAGGUGGGGUUUGGACAUCUGCAAUUUUAAAGCCUCUCCAGAUGGUUCUAAUGUGCAUUCAGGUUCGCGAACUACUAUAAGCAACUCGCAACUGGAAAAAGUGUCUGGAGACUAUAAAUAACCUGCCCCAAGUCACAAGACUGUGUUAUCAAACCAUUGAGAGAAACAGAACUUUCCUCAAAGCCAAGAAACAGCUUUCAAAAGGAAGUUUCCCAAAAACUCUUCUAAAAGUACCAGCAUAUCUUCAAACCAAAUGGAGUCUCGCUUUGUCAUCCGGGCUGGAUGUGGUGCGAUCAUAGCUCUGCCUACUCGAACUCCUGGGCUCAAGCGAUCCUCCUGCUUCAUCCUCGCAAGUACCUGGGACUACAGGCACAUGCCACCACACCCAGCUGAGAGCUUAUUUUGUUGGAUACUAGACAUAUGAAGUACUGAAAUACAAAGGGAUUAGGACUGCAAACAAGUUUAUAAGAUUCCAAGAUUGCAGUGAAUUCGUCUGACCCAGAUACGACAGAAGAUCCUCUCUGGUGAAUAUGUGCAACCGUUCUGAACCUCUCUUUUGAAAACUUUACUCUUCUUCUGAUUUGAUUCCAUAAUUGGAAAUUAAAUGGAAACUCAUGCCUUCCUAAAAGUGUUGUAAUUACAUAUUUUGUAUUUCUUUUACCUGAAGUUGUCUGUUGUCAUCUUAUACAUCUUACUUAGGAGCCAUUGACCUUGUGGCAACGCUCCGAAGCAUCACUCUCUGUUCAAGGCACCACACACCUGCAGUGAAGAUGCAGGGAUUAGGUGUAUGUUUCAGGUGUCUAUAGUAGGCUCAAGUUAGCUCACUUGUCUGGAAACUUCUAAUACCUUCAGAAUCAUAGCCCAGCUUAAAGUCUUAGCCAGUAUUUCUGUGCACAUUUCACUGGUAUUACAAAUCAAUCACUGUCACAUUCACCUCACUCAUCACUGCAGUAAUUAUUUUAAGAACUUGUGCUUGUGCCAUUUUGUAUUCACAAUUAGGUAUAAUUGGC
RNAcentral lists this long non-coding RNA (6161 nucleotides) under Homo sapiens (human). Its description in RNAcentral is "HSALNT0110230". Lineage: Eukaryota; Metazoa; Chordata; Mammalia; Primates; Hominidae. The record is from RNAcentral.